Cyprinus carpio carpio is the source of this 1031-nucleotide long non-coding RNA. The record is from Ensembl. NCBI's taxonomy places the organism in Eukaryota, Metazoa, Chordata, Actinopteri, Cypriniformes, Cyprinidae.
UGGAAGGCACUAAGUCUUACAUUAUAACUCGAUGAGCUGAUUUAUCUGCGUUUUAAUAUUCCUUAGAGCUUUUUUGAUGGAUGCCAAGGCUUUCUAGGUCAGGUAUAAUCUGCAAUCUCUUUACUAGUUCGUUUGCAAGCUUCCAUGGCUGCAGUACGCUGUGUUUUCCACCAACUGGCAACCCAAGUUGUUGAAAUACAAUUGGGUAAACUACUGUAGCAGUGGGUGGAAUCACACAGAUCAAAACAAAAACAGACAUUCCGACAUGGAAUGCACAUUUCAAAGUAGAAUAACUGUCUGUAGCAUUGUUUAACAGAGAAACAAGUAUGUGAACUAAGACCCCAGGGGGCACCUGGGGUGGCCAGCCAAAUUUCAGGGGGGGCUGGUGCCACCCCUGGCCACCACGUAGACACACCUCUGCUUCCUUCUUCAGCUACUUGUUGAGAAGUUGAGUACUGAGAUUACCACCAGAGACACACAAGACAGAAGUAUAUGGCUAAGCAUUCACUUCUGUGUAUCUUUGUGAGAGUUCCUCACAGUUCCUCUCUCAUUGACACACACAGCAGUUCAACCUUUCCCAUAAAAUUCCAAACCACAUCAAUAUUACACAGAUCUAGUGAGUCGGGUAAAUUAUGUAGAUUAUGUUUUGAAAGACUGGGAACACUUUUCUCACAUCAGAGCUGGGUGAGCUGCUCCACCUGGGCACAUUUUGAUGUAAACACGGAAGGGAGUGCUUUCAUUAGCCACGUUCAUAUUAUUGAUAUGCACCUUUUGAGGAGGGAGUGUGGGAACAGAGGCUUUUCGGAGACGAAGGAACUGCUGUUUGUACUGAGGAAAGGUUUUUGUUCCCGAGCUACACAGUGUUGCACCCCACAGUCAAAAACCCAGAUGAAGAAACUGAACAGAAAGUCAUAUUUCACUAACCUAACACCUAUAGUUGCCAUCAACUUGAUAAAAAUAGCUUUAGAUAAAACAACUUUUGCAAGCAAACUGUGUCUAGGGUUUAACUCACAGGCUCUUGGCAAGAUAUU